CUCAAAGAUUAAGCCAUGCAUGUAUCAGUACACGCCUUGACAAGGUGAAACCGCGAACGGCUCAUUAUAACAGCUAUAACUUACUAGACCUUGAGCAGUUACUCGGAUAACUGUGGUAAUUCUAGAGCUAAUACGUGCACCGAAGUUGUCCCUCACGGGGCAAUGCAUUUAUUUGAGCAAAACCAGGCGGCUUCGGCCGUUGCUGUUGAAUCAGAAUAACUAAGCUGAUCGUAUGGGCUUGUCCCGACGACGUGUCUUUCAAGUGUCUGCCUUAUCAACUUUCGAUGGUAGUGUACGUGACUACCAUGGUGUUGACGGGUAACGGAGGAUAAGGGUUCGACUCCGGAGAAGGGGCCUGAGAAAUGGCCACUACGUCUAAGGAUGGCAGCAGGCGCGCAAAUUACCCACUCUCGGUUCGAGGAGGUAGUGACGAAAAAUAACAAGGCCGUUCUCUUUGAGGCCGGCCAUUGGAAUGGGUACAAUCUAAACCCUUUAACGAGUAUCAAUGAGAGGGCAAGUCUGGUGCCAGCAGCCGCGGUAAUUCCAGCUCUCGAAAUGCAUAGAAUCAUUGCUGCGGUUAAAAAGCUCGUAGUUGGAUUUGUGCUGGCGACGUGGUCUGCCCUCGCGGGUGGUACUGCGCUCGUCGGCUUUGGGCCGGUCUCCGGGCGGUGGCCUUCACUGGUCGUCGUUCGUGGCUGGCUGGUUUACUUUGAGCAAAUCAGAGUGCUCAGCACAGGCGUCUCGCCGGAAUGUUCGUGCAUGGAAUAAUGGAAAAGGAUUUCGGUCCUCUUUUAUUGGUUUUGUGGACUGAGAUAAUGGUUAACAGAGACGGACGGGGGCAUUCGUAUUGCUGCGUGAGAGGUGAAAUUCUUGGACCGCAGCAGGACGGACUACAGCGAAAGCAUUUGCCAAGCACGUCUUCAUUARUCAAGAACGAAAGUCAGAGGUUCGAAGGCGAUCAGAUACCGCCCUAGUUCUGACCGUAAACGAUGCCAACUAGCGAUCCGCCGAUGGCCUCUCGGGCUUGGUGGGGAGCUUCCCGGAAACGAAAGUCUUCCGGUUCCGGGGGAAGUAUGGUUGCAAAGCUGAAACUUAAAGGAAUUGACGGAAGGGCACCACCAGGAGUGGAGCCUGCGGCUUAAUUUGACUCAACACGGGAAAACUCACCCGGCCCGGACACCGUAAGGAUUGACAGAUUGAUAGCUUUUUCAUGAUUCGGUGGUUUGGUGGUGCAUGGCCGUUCUUAGUUCGUGGAUCGAUUUGUCUGGUUUAUUCCGAUAACGAGCGAGACUCUAGCCUACUAACUAGUGCGCGCAUUGCCGCUGUGCGUGUCACUUCUUAGAGGGAUUGGCUGCGUUUAGCAGCACGAAAUUGAGCAAUAACAGGUCUGUGAUGCCCUUAGAUGUCCGGGGCUGCACGCGCGCUACACUGGCAAAGGCAGCGUGCUUGUCCGUCUCCGAAAGGAGUCGGUAAACCCUUGAAAAUUUGCCGUGAUUGGGAUCGGAAAUUGCAAUUAUUUUCCGUGAACGAGGAAUUCCAAGUAAGUGCGAGUCAUCAGCUCGCGUUGAUUACGUCCCUGCCCUUUGUACACACCGCCCGUCGCUGCCUAGAGCUGAGCCAUUUCGAGAAUAUUCGGGAUCGCUGGUCUUCGCCUCUCGGGGUGUUGGCCGGCACGAGAACGAACGUAAUCGCAGUGGCUUGAACCGGGC
The sequence is a ribosomal RNA, 1709 nucleotides long. It matches the Rfam family "Eukaryotic small subunit ribosomal RNA".